GAUGAACGCUGGCGGCGUGCUUAACACAUGCAAGUCGAACGAUGAAGCCCAGCUUGCUGGGUGGAUUAGUGGCGAACGGGUGAGUAACACGUGAGUAACCUGCCCUUAACUCUGGGAUAAGCCUGGGAAACUGGGUCUAAUACCGGAUAGGAGCGUCCACCGCAUGGUGGGUGUUGGAAAGAUUUAUCGGUUUUGGAUGGACUCGCGGCCUAUCAGCUUGUUGGUGAGGUAAUGGCUCACCAAGGCGACGACGGGUAGCCGGCCUGAGAGGGUGACCGGCCACACUGGGACUGAGACACGGCCCAGACUCCUACGGGAGGCAGCAGUGGGGAAUAUUGCACAAUGGGCGAAAGCCUGAUGCCGCGACGGCGCGUGAGGGAUGACGGCCUUCGGGUUGUAAACCUCUUUCCGUAGGGAAGAAGCGAAAGUGACGGUACCUGCAGAAGAAGCACCGGCUAACUACGUG
Molecule: ribosomal RNA, 466 nt
Filed under: uncultured bacterium
Lineage: Bacteria
Description: partial 16S ribosomal RNA
Rfam family: Bacterial small subunit ribosomal RNA
Source: RNAcentral